This 433-nucleotide ribosomal RNA is filed under the name uncultured bacterium. RNAcentral describes it as "bacterial SSU rRNA". It matches the Rfam family "Bacterial small subunit ribosomal RNA", at positions 29 to 507 of the family's 1533-position model. The record is from RNAcentral.
AACGAACGCUGGCGGCAGGCCUAACACAUGCAAGUCGAGCGGACCCUUCGGGGUUAGCGGCGGACGGGUUAGUAACGCGUGGGAACGUGCCCAAAGGUACGGAAUAGCCUCGGGAAACUGAGAGUAAUACCGUAUGUGCCCCUCGGGGGAAAGAUUUAUCGCCUUUGGAUCGGCCCACGUUGGAUUAGGUAGUUGGUGGGGUAAUGGCCUACCAAGCCGACGAUCCAUAGCUGGUUUGAGAGGAUGAUCAGCAACACUGGGACUGAGACACGGCCCAGACUCCUACGGGAGGCAGCAGUGGGGAAUCUUAGACAAUGGGGGAAACCCUGAUCUAGCCAUGCCGCGUGGACGAUGAAGGCCUUAGGGUUGUAAAGUCCUUUCAGCUGGGAAGAUAAUGACGGUACCAGCAGAAGAAGCCCCGGCUAACUCCGUG